This 465-nucleotide ribosomal RNA is filed under the name Vreelandella stevensii. RNAcentral describes it as "partial 16S ribosomal RNA". It matches the Rfam family "Bacterial small subunit ribosomal RNA", at positions 338 to 795 of the family's 1533-position model. Lineage: Bacteria; Pseudomonadati; Pseudomonadota; Gammaproteobacteria; Oceanospirillales; Halomonadaceae. The record is from RNAcentral.
CCUACGGGUGGCAGCAGUGGGGAAUAUUGGACAAUGGGGGCAACCCUGAUCCAGCGAUGCCGCGUGUGUGAAGAAGGCCCUCGGGUUGUAAAGCACUUUUAGUGAGGAAGAACGCCUGGUGGUUAAUACCCAUCAGGAAAGACGUCACUCACAGAAGAAGCAGCGGCUAACUCCGUGCCAGCAGCCGCGGUAAUACGGAGGGUGCGAGCGUUAAUCGGAAUUACUGGGCGUAAAGCGCGCGUAGGUGGCUUGAUAAGCCGGUUGUGAAAGCCCCGGGCUCAACCUGGGAACGGCAUCCGGAACUGGCAAGCUAGAGUGCAGAAGAGGAAGGUAGAAUUCCCGGUGUAGCGGUGAAAUGCGUAGAGAUCGGGAGGAAUACCAGUGGCGAAGGCGGCCUUCUGGACUGACACUGACACUGAGGUGCGAAAGCGUGGGCAGCAAACAGGAUUAGAUACCCGUGUAGUC